GAGGGUAUAGCUCAAGUGGUAGAGCACAUGCUUAGCAUGCAUGAGGUCAUGGGUUCAAUCCCCAGGACCCUCC
Molecule: transfer RNA, 73 nt
Filed under: Camelus bactrianus (Bactrian camel)
Lineage: Eukaryota; Metazoa; Chordata; Mammalia; Artiodactyla; Camelidae
Also listed under: 2 other names
Rfam family: tRNA
About the family: Transfer RNA (tRNA) molecules are approximately 80 nucleotides in length. Their secondary structure includes four short double-helical elements and three loops (D, anti-codon, and T loops).
Source: Rfam by way of RNAcentral